RNAcentral lists this ribosomal RNA (606 nucleotides) under Kyphosus sydneyanus (silver drummer). Its description in RNAcentral is "partial 16S ribosomal RNA". It matches the Rfam family "Bacterial large subunit ribosomal RNA", at positions 1808 to 2619 of the family's 2925-position model. Lineage: Eukaryota; Metazoa; Chordata; Actinopteri; Centrarchiformes; Kyphosidae. The record is from RNAcentral.
CAAAAACAUCGCCUCUUGCAAAACUGAGAAAUAAGAGGUCCCGCCUGCCCUGUGACUAUAUGUUUAACGGCCGCGGUAUUUUGACCGUGCGAAGGUAGCGCAAUCACUUGUCUUUUAAAUGGAGACCUGUAUGAAUGGCAUAACGAGGGCUUAGCUGUCUCCUUUUUCAAGUCAAUGAAAUUGAUCUCCCCGUGCAGAAGCGGGGAUAACACCAUAAGACGAGAAGACCCUAUGGAGCUUUAGACACCAAGGCAGAUCAUGUUAAACACCCCUUCACAAAGGACCAAACCAGAUGAACCCUGCCCUAAUGUCUUUGGUUGGGGCGACCGCGGGGAAACAAAAAACCCCCACGUGGAAUGGGAAUACCCCCUCCUACAACUAAGAGCUCCCGCUCUAAUGACCAGAAUUUCUGACCAAUCAGAUCCGGCAACGCCGAUCAACGGACCGAGUUACCCUAGGGAUAACAGCGCAAUCCCCUUUUAGAGCCCAUAUCGACAAGGGGGUUUACGACCUCGAUGUUGGAUCAGGACAUCCUAAUGGUGCAGCCGCUAUUAAGGGUUCGUUUGUUCAACGAUUAAAGUCCUACGUGAUCUGAUUUCAGACCGG